GCAACGGCAGUGUUCUCCACCCCAGGCUAGUUACUAGGACAGAGAGCAUUCUGGGAAGAGGAGCUAAGCAGCAGUUUGGAUAUAUUUUAUUGAACUCUCCAACUUUUGUUAAACUUGAAAGUGGCUGCCUCCUAUUUUCCAAAUUUUGAGUAUCCCUUGCAACCUUUCUAAAGGCUUCUGAUGCAUGGGUGUCCAAAUGAAGAAAGCACAGAGAUGUGCCACUUUCUGUGUCUCUGUUUUCAGUGGAAAUGGGAACACUGCCUGUGCAGGCAGCCUUGGAAUGAAGGACACCGGAAUAACUAUGUCUAAAGCCUCUCACAGCUGGGGACCAGGUGACUGUAACAGCCCUUUUUUAAUGAACCAUCCAUAUCCUGAGAACUGAGAGUGGCAUCAAUGGUUCUUCUCUUUUUACCUCUGCCUUCCAAUGAUAAACACGGAGAUGAUCUUUUGGUCAGUGAAGUGAUACUGCAGGAUGACUUCCAAGGGCCCAACAUACACAUCACAUGUAACAGGCACACAUUUCGAUUGGAUCCCUGACCUGCAUGGAUUCAAAGCAACAGACCGCUAAAGUGAUGUGCCUAUGUAUAAAACGACAUUGAAUUUUCAGCAGCAAACAGUCUCUGACAUAUAAAUUGAAAAUUACAGGAGCAUGAAAAGAACAAUUUGCAUUAAUAUUUGAACAUAAAAAUUUAUCCUGCAAAAAUUC
Molecule: non-coding RNA, 706 nt
Organism: Pogona vitticeps (central bearded dragon)
Lineage: Eukaryota; Metazoa; Chordata; Lepidosauria; Squamata; Agamidae
Source: RefSeq, a predicted model, not a curated record